UAUGGAUGCGGGUAAUUACAUUACACCGAGUAAAACCCUUAAGUGAUAGAAAUAUUAAGCGUACUGCAAGUACGUCACUGGGGUUUGGGCCCCACUUAGGUGGGACUUUUAAAGUUAA
This 118-nucleotide small RNA is filed under the name Companilactobacillus allii. RNAcentral's name for it is "Lactobacillus allii DUF3800-I RNA". It matches the Rfam family "DUF3800-I RNA". From Rfam's summary of the family: Actinobacteria, Firmicutes, Fusobacteria, Proteobacteria (1 example), Tenericutes (2 examples). Terminator (Clostridia) Lineage: Bacteria; Bacillati; Bacillota; Bacilli; Lactobacillales; Lactobacillaceae. The record is from Rfam by way of RNAcentral.